AUCCCAUGAUGAGGAUAGGCGGCCACAUACUCCUGCAGACGCUCCCAUGCUUCAGGUAUAGACUCAUCCCUUGUCUGCUGGAAACUUGAAAUCCUUUCACAAAGGGC
This 107-nucleotide small nucleolar RNA is filed under the name Oryza rufipogon (brownbeard rice). RNAcentral describes it as "Plant small nucleolar RNA R71". It matches the Rfam family "Plant small nucleolar RNA R71". Rfam says of the family: R71 is a member of the C/D box family of snoRNAs containing the C (UGAUGA) and D (CUGA) box motifs. Multiple nearly identical copies of this snoRNA have been identified in Arabidopsis, and it is thought to function as a 2'-O-ribose methylation guide for 18S ribosomal RNA. Lineage: Eukaryota; Viridiplantae; Streptophyta; Magnoliopsida; Poales; Poaceae. The record is from Rfam by way of RNAcentral.